AGAGUGAUAGUUUAAAGAAAACGCCAAGUUGCAAACCUGAAAUUGAGUAGAACUCUCACUUAU
Molecule: transfer RNA, 63 nt
Filed under: Onchidella borealis
Lineage: Eukaryota; Metazoa; Mollusca; Gastropoda; Systellommatophora; Onchidiidae
Description: tRNA-Cys
Source: RNAcentral